GCAGCAGCCACGGGAAUACGGAGGGAGCUAGCGUUGUUCGGAAUCACUGGGCGUAAAGCGCACGUAGGCGGCUACUCAAGUCAGGGGUGAAAGCCCGGGGCUCAACCCCGGAACUGCCUUUGAAACUAGAUAGCUUGAAUCUUGGAGAGGCGAGUGGAAUUCCGAGUGUAGAGGUGAAAUUCGUAGAUAUUCGGAAGGACACCAGUGGCGAAGGCGACUCGCUGGACAAGUAUUGACGCUGAGGUGCGAAAGCGUGGGGAGCAAACAGGAUUAGAUACCCCCGUAGUCCCUGUCUCUUAUAC
Molecule: ribosomal RNA, 302 nt
Filed under: uncultured bacterium
Lineage: Bacteria
Description: partial 16S ribosomal RNA
Rfam family: Bacterial small subunit ribosomal RNA
Source: RNAcentral